UGGAUUCGGCAGCCCUGGGGACUGCCCCUCGCGAUAAACCGGGCUCUUCUCUCGUAACCACAGAAAACCGAAUUAGUCAAGAUGCACGUUUCUCAAAUUAGGACCUGGGCGCCACCAUGUUGGUACAGUCGAGCUUAUAAGAUUUCCACUGAGAUGUCCAGAAGUAUUGGAGCUCCGCUGCACAUUUUUUUUCUUUUCUCUUGCUGCUUUUAGGAUCCUUUCUCCAUCCUUGACCUUUGGGAGUUUGGUUGUUAAAUGCCUUGAGGUCAAAGGGGAACUUCCAACUCCAACUGCAGACCAUUUGGAUAUGUUACCAGUGGGAGCACUACAUCUCAAAGUAUAUGGAUGGUGGUGAAAGAUGAGUUUAGAAGAUUAAUCGUCAUAUGUGUUUAUCAAUAAUUCAACUAAGUAGAAUAAAAUAAAUUGAAAUAAAUACAAGAGAG
Molecule: long non-coding RNA, 443 nt
Filed under: Homo sapiens (human)
Lineage: Eukaryota; Metazoa; Chordata; Mammalia; Primates; Hominidae
Description: HSALNT0287063
Source: RNAcentral